RNAcentral lists this ribosomal RNA (509 nucleotides) under uncultured bacterium. RNAcentral's name for it is "partial 16S ribosomal RNA". It matches the Rfam family "Bacterial small subunit ribosomal RNA", at positions 28 to 523 of the family's 1533-position model. The record is from RNAcentral.
GACGAACGCUGGCGGCGUGCUUAACACAUGCAAGUCGAGCGAGAAAGCGGCUUCGGCCGUGAGUACAGCGGCGAACGGGUGAGUAACACGUGGGCAACCUGCCCCAGAGACUGGGAUAACGUCCCGAAAGGGACGCUAAUACCGGAUAACGCGUGGCCUGCCAAGUGGGCCACGCCAAAAGGUAGCUUCGGCUUCUGCUCUAGGAUGGGCCCGCGCCGGAUUAGCUUGUUGGUGAGGUAACGGCUCACCAAGGCGACGAUCCGUAGCUGGUCUGAGAGGACGAUCAGCCACACUGGGACUGAGACACGGCCCAGACUCCUACGGGAGGCAGCAGUGGGGAAUCUUGCGCAAUGGGCGAAAGCCUGACGCAGCAACGCCGCGUGAGCGAAGACGGCCUUCGGGUUGUAAAGCUCUGUCAGGAGGGACGAAGCCACUCAGGUGAAUAGCCGAGAGGGUGACGGUACCUCCAGAGGAAGCCCCGGCUAACUACGUGCCAGCCGCCGCGGUAA